GGAACCCUUCUAGACUCUUCUUUGGAACAAAAAAUAAAUGAAAAGACCCUAAGGACCUAAGAGCAAUUAGCACAAAAAUACACAUUUAGACCUAGACCUAUAUAAUAGGGGUAACACCUAUCAGCUAGAAGAAGGAGGAGCUGAAGCGCCACAAUACACAAAAAAUAUGACAACCCCAUUUGCAUUCCAUUUCUCUUCUUCAUCCCAGCAACAGCUUUCAGCAGCCUCACGCCUACCACACUACACACACCCAUCAACAACCUCAUCUCCACCACGAACCUAUCCCCAAACCAGCCGUGAACCAUCCAUAAAUCCAUCGUCAAAACCACUAUGAAACCUCUGUAAUAGCAGCUUAUGGAGUUACAGAAUUUCAUUUACAAAAUCCCAUGAAAAUCAAUCCCAAUAACCAGCGAAAAGUAGCCAUAGUAGCUCGUUUUCAGUUUGUUUGCCACCGAGUUUCCGGCGAGCUAGAGGUCCGUUGAGUUCCGUCGAGGUUCGAGUGUCGUCCGAUGAGAUUCCGCUUCACCGAGCGAGUUCGUUGAUUGAUUAUCGUGUAUUUGAGCAGUUAUCAAAGAGUAAAGUGCAUUGUUGAAUUGCUGUUUGACACAGAGAUUGAAAGGUGCGUUCAUUGCUUGUAUAUCGCCGUAAUGCGCAUGGGUCUCAAGUCCAUCCUCAUUAUAGUUUUUGCUGUAUGUUAAUAUAAUUUUAGUUUAGUUAUCUCUGCAUUACCCUUCUUGUUUUAUAUUGAUUCAUGUCGAAAUGAGGAUCGCUUUAUCCAUGUUGAGCUUUCCUUUCAAAUAUGUUCAUCAUUUUGCUUGAAUGUUAUAACAGUAGUAUGCUAAAUAUCAUAUGUUUUUACAGUUUUAAAAGUUCAAUUGAAUAAUGGACCUUAUUGUUUUGAAAAUCUCCAACGAUUUGAAUUUUUGGGAGAAAAUGAUAUAUGAUUUCGUUUAAAAUAAUGGUACAAUUUUUAUGUUGAAGUUGUCGGAUUCAGAUUAUAGUUUAACUUUAGUCUUCAUGAUUUAAUUGUUAGUCUAAUUCUUUAAUGCACGCUUUACAAUGGUCUCACAAUUUGAGAAGAAUUAUGAAAUGCGUAGUUAUUUUAGGCGUGUAAUUUAAAUUACUUUCCUAAACUCGGGUGUGUAUUUAUGUGACUCAAAUCCAAAUCUCAACAACGUUAGAUAAAAUGUGUCGUGAACCGCGGGUGCAUUUAUGUGACAUAGUCCAAGAUGUGUUUUAGAUGACGUUGAAUCUUUCUAAAAAAAUAUCUAAAUAAAAGCGGCUAUAAAGUUAAAAUUGAACCAUAGGCUAAAAUAUGUAUUAAAAAUCAGAUAAUUAGGCCAAUAUAAUAGUUGAGCGAUCGUGGUAGAAUCACGGAACCCGGGAAUGCCUAACACGUUCUUCCGGGUUAACAUAAUUCCUUACCCGGAUUUUUGUGUUCGCGGACUAUAAAACAGAGUCAAUCUUUCCUCGAUUCGGGAUUUGAACCGGUGACUUGGGACACCAUAAAUUAUCCUAAGUGGUGACUCUGAACAAAUAAAAUAAUCCUGUUUCGAUUGUCACUUAAAUUGGAAAAAACUCCCUUAUACCCCUUUCGGGUAGUAAAAAGGAGGUGUGACACACUCAAUGCCUAGAACUUGCCAUGUGUGUGUACGAAGCGAAAUGAUAGUCUUAAUUGGUCUGGAAAGUGAUAUAGGUGUUUCCUUGUUGAACCUAUCUCUAUAUGUUUGCAUCCACCUGAUUGUGUAUAUUCUAGUUAACCCCUUUGAGCUUGUAUUCCUGUUUCUUUGGCAACCACAUUACAAGCCUUACCCAAGUUGUGAAUUGUCUAUCUUUUUGAACCCUAUCACCUCUUAAAAGUACUUGAAUUGUAAUGAAUAUGGAAAAGUUAAAGCGCGGGGUGGUUGAUUGGGCUUUUGAGUGGAGCUAAUGAAAUAAGAAGAAAGGUGCACUGUGUUAAAAAAAAUAAGAGCACACUUGAAUUGAAAAAAAUAAAUAUUUUUCCUUGCUAAGUGGUGACUCUUGAUGUAAACGUGCUUAAAGAAGUAGGGGGUGUAACUCAGUGAUGCAAAUAUGGAAUGAAGGUUUGACAAAGGUAUGGGCUUAAAAGUGAAAAAAAUAUAUUUAAGUGCUUAGGAAGGUGUAGUCACUAUACUCAUAUGUAUCCUACCUGUCCCGCAUCUAACACUACAACCAAAUAAAGUCUUACUUGAUUCUAGACCAAAAGAGCUCGAUUAGUAGAGUAUUACACUACGGGCAAGUCUAUGGUGCAUUGUUUGUGGCAUGAGAGUUUAUUUCUGAGGGUGAGUGAAAUCUUACGUAUGUGAAUUCCUCAGUGUGUAAAUUAUAAUGACAUGACACAAGUCUCUUUUGUGGUGAGUAGGCACGUGAUUCAGGAAGGAAAGGUAAGUCUGGACCUCUGACUGAGAAUAUGAAAGCCGGUUAGGGACAUUACGUAGCUAGAGAGAGAGUCCACUCUUGAGGUUAGGAGGUUACGCCAAGGUAGUCUAUCUAUGUGAUUCUUGGUAUAAGGAGUAGGGAAGUAACCCAGUGAUGAUUAGGCCUAUAGAGUAUGGUUUUGUUGCUAUAGGACUAGCAACAGUUUAAGUGUGGGGUGUUGAUAGUAGCCUAUAUUAUAUGAUGUAGAUGCUAUUUAUGCUAGAAGUUAAUCAUACUUUAUUGAUGUUUUAAGUGUUAAAUGAUAACAAAAUGCUCUAAUUGAGAUUUUUAUGCUUUGCAGGAACUACUCCGAGUUAGCAGGAGGAUAUAGAGUGUUUUGGAGUCAAUUAUGUAGAUACAAGGCCAAUUGAGAAGAGCCCGGAUGAAAACGAGCAAGAAAAGGCAAAAAAAAAACUGGGUAAUAGUCCACCGCGACCGCGGUAGGGCCGCGGCUAGAACGCGGUGAAAGAAAAGCAGAAAACAGAAUGUUUAAAAUGACCGCGGUCGUGCCGCGGUUGGCCCGCUACCGCGGUCGAUCUGAAGAAGACCAAGAAAGUUUAAGGGCUAAAGUAUAAAGUGUGAGAAACUUAUCCUAACCCUAUAUAAACUCAACAAACUCGCCCAAGUAAAAAAAAAAGCUUGUUUUUAGACUCAAUUGGAGGCAAGAACAAGUAUAAAAAGAUAAAGACACCAUUAGAGUUUUAAUUCUUCUUCUUGUUAUCAUUAUUUUGUGAAUUAUGAAUGAUUUUAUGGUUUUAUCUUGUUUUACAUGAGUAGAUAAACAUUUAAUCUAGGGUUGAUGGAACCAAUUGUUAGAUAAAGUUUUGACUUAGUUUUGUUAUAAUCGAGUCGGGUUUAUUAUAUGAUUGUUGAACUAUAUUUUGUAUGGUGAUUAAUUGAAUGGACUUU
This 3348-nucleotide long non-coding RNA is filed under the name Nicotiana tabacum (common tobacco). RNAcentral's name for it is "long non-coding RNA (NTAB_LNC009693)". Lineage: Eukaryota; Viridiplantae; Streptophyta; Magnoliopsida; Solanales; Solanaceae. The record is from RNAcentral.